RNAcentral lists this ribosomal RNA (492 nucleotides) under uncultured bacterium. RNAcentral's name for it is "partial 16S ribosomal RNA". It matches the Rfam family "Bacterial small subunit ribosomal RNA", at positions 30 to 507 of the family's 1533-position model. The record is from RNAcentral.
AUUGAACGCUGGCGGCAUGCUUUACACAUGCAAGUCGAACGGUAACAGGCCUUCGGUUCUUCCCUGUUGGCAACGGGGGACGUAUGGCUUCGAAACGGGCCAAGAGGUGGUGAGAAAGGGAGCAAAACCGGUGCUAAUACCUAAUGUGAUCUAAGGUUGAAAACGGGGUACCGGGAAACAAAAUUUGGCCCCUGCCCUUUGGAGUGGCCGAUGUCGGAUUAGGUAGUUGGUUGGGUAAAGGCCUACCAAGCCGACGAUCUGUAGCUGGUCUGAGAGGACGACCAGCCACACUGGGACUGAGACACGGCCCAGACUCCUACGGGAGGCAGCAGUGGGGAAUUUUGGACAAUGGGCGCAAGCCUGAUCCAGCAAUGCCGCGUGAGGGAAGAAGGUCUUCGGGUUGUAAACCGCUUUUGUACGGAAAGAAAAGGCUCUGGCUAAUACCUGGGGCUGAUGACGGUACCGUAAGAAUAAGCACCGGCUAACUACGUG